UAGGGAAUCUUCCACAAUGGACGCAAGUCUGAUGGAGCAACGCCGCGUGAGUGAAGAAGGUCUUCGGAUCGUAAAGCUCUGUUGUUGGUGAAGAAGGAUGAGGCAGUAACUGGUCUUUAUUUGACGGUAAUCAACCAGAAAGUCACGGCUAACUACGUGCCAGCAGCCGCGGUAAUACGUAGGUGGCAAGCGUUGUCCGGAUUUAUUGGGCGUAAAGCGAGCGCAGGCGGAAUGAUAAGUCUGAUGUGAAAGCCCACGGCUCAACCGUGGAACUGCAUCGGAAACUGUCAUUCUUGAGUGCAGAAGAGGAGAGUGGAACUCCAUGUGUAGCAGUGGAAUGCGUAGAUAUAUGGAAGAACACCAGUGGCGAAGGCGGCUCUCUGGUCUGCAACUGACGCUGAGACUCGAAAGCAUGGGUAGCGAACAGGAUUAGAUACCCUGGUAGUCCAUGCCGUAAACGAUGAGCGCUAGGUGUUGGGGC
Molecule: ribosomal RNA, 481 nt
Filed under: uncultured bacterium
Lineage: Bacteria
Description: partial 16S ribosomal RNA
Rfam family: Bacterial small subunit ribosomal RNA
Source: RNAcentral